This 384-nucleotide transfer-messenger RNA is filed under the name Desulfovibrionaceae. RNAcentral describes it as "Pseudodesulfovibrio sp010468615 Standard tmRNA". It matches the Rfam family "transfer-messenger RNA". From Rfam's summary of the family: Bacterial tmRNA, also known as 10Sa RNA or SsrA, is named for its dual tRNA and mRNA-like properties. Its role is to liberate the mRNA from a stalled ribosome. To accomplish this part of the tmRNA is used as a reading frame that ends in a translation stop signal. RNAcentral also lists the same sequence under 2 other names. Lineage: Bacteria; Pseudomonadati; Thermodesulfobacteriota; Desulfovibrionia; Desulfovibrionales. The record is from RNAcentral.
GGGGGCGCACUGGUUUCGACGGGGAUUGUUGAAGUCAAGGCUGCAGGUCGAGGUUGGUCGAUGGCCUCGUAAAAAUCGACCACAAGAUAAUUGCAAACGACAAUUACGAUUACGCAAUGGCUGCUUAAUUGCAGAGUUGCUAUCUGACAACAUAGUUUGUCACGAUUCCUUUGUUGACGCCUUAUAGGCAAAACGAAUCGACAAAUCAUAGGGCUAGCAUCACCUAUUUGAUCUUUGUAUCUGAUGCGAAACACUUAAAGACCUAGUUCGAUGGCCGUCUGGCCCGGAGCAAUCCAUCGGGCGAAUGUUUAUUCCGGACCUAAACCUGUAGAAGCUUUUGCGGAUCAUUCUCGGACGGGAGUUCGAUUCUCCCCGCCUCCACCA